This 200-nucleotide ribosomal RNA is filed under the name uncultured bacterium. RNAcentral's name for it is "partial 16S ribosomal RNA". It matches the Rfam family "Bacterial small subunit ribosomal RNA", at positions 8 to 198 of the family's 1533-position model. The record is from RNAcentral.
AGAGUUUGAUCCUGGCUCAGAGCGAACGCUGGCGGCGUGCUUAACACAUGCAAGUCGAACGAGGUCCAAGGAGUAGCAAUACUCCUGAAGACCUAGUGGCGAACGGGUGAGUAACACGUGAGCAACCUGCCCCGAAGACCGGGAUAACAGCGGGAAACCGCUGCUAAUACCGGAUGUCCCCAUCGGACCACAUGGCCUGA